AUAGGUGAUACUAGACAAUCUUAAUUCACACAAUAGUUUGUUCUAGAAUGUAUAGCUUUCUACUCUUAAUAAUAUGAUAAGAGUUGUGGUCUACCAUAGGAUAUUAAUCUAUUGAACAUUUGGUAAUUUUUUUUAUUAGACUUAUUUGCAUUGGACACCUGAUAUGUGUAAUGCUGAAUAAAAAGCACAAAAAAUUGAACUGUGAUACUAAAUUUGAUUCCAAUCCGAAAUCCAUAAAACAAAAAAAUAAAAAUAAUCUGAAGUCUCUGUCUCCUAACGUAUAUAUCAAUCAUCAUAUAUUACUGAAAAGGAACAUUAACCAAAAAAGAUGAACAAAUUAAAGGGAUUAUUCCAUCUACAGUUAUCAAUAUAGCAUAUACCAAGCUUGAUCAUUCAAUAGGUACAGUGUGGUAAAAUACCUAUAUAAACAAUUGUUUUCUUAGUAAAUUGUAUCAAGUCAAACAGUGACAAGUAAAAAUAAACAAAAAAAAUAUCUAAAAACUACGAAACGUAUGACAUAAUUUACAAUAAUUAAUAACUUAAAAUAUUUAAAAUGCAUAGAAUGAGAUUGACUCUCGAAAUUUUAAGUAAAUCACUAAAAUUGGAAAGGAGAGAGGAAAGGAGUAAGUAAGAUAGAAUAACAAAGGGACAAAUUAGGAAGUAGUGAGGCUUGAGGGUGAGGGAAAAUGAACUUUCUUGGAAAUAAUAAAAGCUUUUGAGCUAAUAAUAUUCCACAGGCUGAAACCCUCCUCUUUCCUAUAUAUAAGCAAUAUUCAAACUUUGUGAAGUAUAUGUAUGACCCUUAAUUGGUGAAAGCAUUUACUAUAUAGUUAUGGGAGAAGUAGUGUUCCAGCUGCAACAUGGCAAAAACAUGGGUUAUGUUAAGAAGGGUGCUUGGUCUCCUCAAGAAGACAAAAAAUUGAUUGAUCAUAUCGCGAAAUAUCGUAUUUGGAACUGGAGCCAGAUGCCCAAAUUUGCAGGGCUAUCAAGAACUGGAAAGAGUUGUAGACUGAGAUGGAUCAACUAUUUGAGGCCUGAUAUAAAGAGAGGGACAUUUAGCCUUGAAGAAACUCAAACAAUCAUCAAAAUGUAUCAAUCACUUGGAAACAGGCGACGAUUAAUUACCUUUCAAUUUUUAUCAUCGAAGAUGUGAUUAAGAGGUCAGCUAUAGCUAAAGAAUUGCCUGGAAGAACAGAUAACGAAAUCAAGAAUUUCUACCAUACCCAUUUAAAGAAGCACGUUGGGACAAAAGUUGAAGUGAAACCUAAAUCAAGGAAGAAAGCUAAACAAAUAGAGAUGAGUACUCAAAAGAAGCCUUUGAUAACUACUAAUUGUCCAAAUAUUCAAUCAUUUGAUUUCACCAACUCCUCCUCCUCCUCUAGCUACAUCAUAUUUGAUGAAAAUUAUGAUUUCUUGGAAACAUAUAAUCAAGAAAAUGAUGUUACUUCAAUUGUCAAUCAAGUUGAUGACGAAAACAUAGUUAUAUUGGAGAGUAAUCCAGAGAGUAUUAGUACAUCAAGUGUUGAUUUGUACAUACAAGAUUUCAUGGAUGUGAGUAUUGAUUCAUCUAAUGUUGAUUUUUGGUUGGAGCUAUAUAUGGCGGCAGACAAUCUGAACACCUAGAAGCUGAAUAUACUUGAGAAGAUUCAAUUACAAUUUUAUGUAUGCCUUUUCAUGUCCAUUAUUGUGUGUUAAGUUUAUGUAACAUAAAUCUAUAACUAUAUAUGCACUGUGUAUAUACUUGCAAUAACACCCUUCGCUGGAAAAUUGUGUGGUGUACAAUUUAGGUUUGAUGUUAUUAGCUAUUAUGAGUGUAUAUUUAGUUUUGCACACGAUUCACCAA
RNA transcript from Solanum lycopersicum (tomato), 1843 nucleotides. It is a transcript of the gene named transcription factor MYB14-like, with no coding region annotated. The record is from RefSeq and is a predicted model, not a curated record. Lineage: Eukaryota; Viridiplantae; Streptophyta; Magnoliopsida; Solanales; Solanaceae.